GCCUCGGUGGUGAAACUGGUAGACACACAGGACUUAAAAUCCUGCGGCUGUAAAGGCCGUGUCGGUUCGAUUCCGACCCGAGGCACCA
RNAcentral lists this transfer RNA (88 nucleotides) under Crenotrichaceae bacterium. RNAcentral's name for it is "tRNA-Leu". It matches the Rfam family "tRNA". Rfam says of the family: Transfer RNA (tRNA) molecules are approximately 80 nucleotides in length. Their secondary structure includes four short double-helical elements and three loops (D, anti-codon, and T loops). Lineage: Bacteria; Pseudomonadati; Pseudomonadota; Gammaproteobacteria; Methylococcales; Crenotrichaceae. The record is from RNAcentral.